This 968-nucleotide ribosomal RNA is filed under the name Halomonas sp. RNAcentral describes it as "bacterial SSU rRNA". It matches the Rfam family "Bacterial small subunit ribosomal RNA", at positions 150 to 1119 of the family's 1533-position model. The record is from RNAcentral. Lineage: Bacteria; Pseudomonadati; Pseudomonadota; Gammaproteobacteria; Oceanospirillales; Halomonadaceae.
GGGGAAACCCAGGCUAAUACCGCAUACGUCCUACGGGAGAAAGGGGGCUUMGGCUCCCGCUAUUGGAUGAGCCUAUGCCGGAUUAGCUGGUUGGUGAGGUAAUGGCUCACCAAGGCGACGAUCCGUAGCUGGUCUGAGAGGAUGAUCAGCCACAUCGGGACUGAGACACGGCCCGAACUCCUACGGGAGGCAGCAGUGGGGAAUAUUGGACAAUGGGGGCAACCCUGAUCCAGCCAUGCCGCGUGUGUGAAGAAGGCCCUCGGGUUGUAAAGCACUUUCAGCGAGGAAGAACGCCUGUCGGUUAAUACCCGGCAGGAAAGACAUCACUCGCAGAAGAAGCACCGGCUAACUCCGUGCCAGCAGCCGCGGUAAUACGGAGGGUGCAAGCGUUAAUCGGAAUUACUGGGCGUAAAGCGCGCGUAGGUGGCUUGAUAAGCCGGUUGUGAAAGCCCCGGGCUCAACCUGGGAACGGCAUCCGGAACUAUUAGGCUAGAGUGCAGGAGAGGAAGGUAGAAUUCCCGGUGUAGCGGUGAAAUGCGUAGAGAUCGGGAGGAAUACCAGUGGCGAAGGCGGCCUUCUGGACUGACACUGACACUGAGGUGCGAAAGCGUGGGUAGCAAACAGGAUUAGAUACCCUGGUAGUCCACGCCGUAAACGAUGUCGACCAGCCGUUGGGUGCCUAGCGCACUUUGUGGCGAAGUUAACGCGAUAAGUCGACCGCCUGGGGAGUACGGCCGCAAGGUUAAAACUCAAAUGAAUUGACGGGGGCCCGCACAAGCGGUGGAGCAUGUGGUUUAAUUCGAUGCAACGCGAAGAACCUUACCUACCCUUGACAUCCUGCGAACUUGUGAGAGAUCACUUGGUGCCUUCGGGAGCGCAGAGACAGGUGCUGCAUGGCUGUCGUCAGCUCGUGUUGUGAAAUGUUGGGUUAAGUCCCGUAACGAGCGCAACCCUUGUCCCUAUUUGCC